UGUUACCCAGGCUGGUCUCAAACUCCUGGGCUCGAGUGAUCUGCCCACCUUGCCUCUCAAACUGCUGGGAUUAUAGGUGUGAACCACUGCACCUGGCCAGGAGUUGUUUGUUUUUGGUGAAUGAAGAGUAAAGUAUAACUAGGGGAAAAGGGUAUAUGGUAAUAGAAAAGUCACUUUCUGACACUUAACUGAGUGUCCAGGAUAUACGUUUUUAGCAUUGAAUGGAAGCCUGGGUAAGUCAGACAAGUGGGGAACAUAGAAGAUAAUAAGUACACAAAUGUACGUAAAGUUAUAAAAUAGGGUGAGGAUAUGGUGAGGGGGUGGGGAGCUGUUUGAAAUACACUGGUGUGUGCUGGGAUUACAGGCAUGAGCCACCAUACCUGGCC
Molecule: long non-coding RNA, 386 nt
Organism: Sapajus apella (tufted capuchin)
Lineage: Eukaryota; Metazoa; Chordata; Mammalia; Primates; Cebidae
Exons: 3
Source: RefSeq, a predicted model, not a curated record